CGCCUGUUUUAUCAAAAACAUUGUUUUUUGAAAUUUUUAAAAAAUAUGGCCUGCACACUGAAUUUUAUUUAAAGAGCCGCGGUAUUUUGACCGUGCAAAGGUAGCAUAAUCAUUAGUUUUUUAAUUGAAGACUGGGAUGAAAGGUUUAAUAAAAAAUAAGCUUUAUUAUAAUAAUAAUAAUUGAAUUUGUUUUUUUAGUAAAAAAACUAAAAUAAGUAUAAAAGACGAUAAGACCCUAUAAAGCUUUAUAAUUUUGAAUUAAAAAUUAAUUUAGAAUAUUAAAAUUUUUAUUUUUAAAUUUAUUUAAUUGGGGUGAUUUUAAGAUUUAAUAAACUCUUAUAUUUUUUAUUCAUAAAUUUAUGAUAAUUAUGAUCCUAUAUUAUAGAUUAAAAAAUUAAGUUACUUUAGGGAUAACAGCGUAAUUUUUUUGGAGAGUUCAAAUCGAUAAAAAAGUUUGCGACCUCGAUGUUGGAUUAAGAAAAAAUUUUAGGUGUAGCAGUUUAAAGUUUUAGUCUGUUCGACUAUUUAUUCUUACAUGAUCUGAGUUCCAACCC
Molecule: ribosomal RNA, 554 nt
Filed under: Polypedilum sp. LACM RW17.107.3442
Lineage: Eukaryota; Metazoa; Arthropoda; Insecta; Diptera; Chironomidae
Description: partial large subunit ribosomal RNA
Rfam family: Archaeal large subunit ribosomal RNA (bases 410-554)
Source: RNAcentral